RNAcentral lists this ribosomal RNA (301 nucleotides) under uncultured bacterium. Its description in RNAcentral is "partial 16S ribosomal RNA". It matches the Rfam family "Bacterial small subunit ribosomal RNA", at positions 509 to 809 of the family's 1533-position model. The record is from RNAcentral.
CAGCAGCCACGGGAAUACGUAGGGUGCGAGCGUUAAUCGGAAUUACUGGGCGUAAAGCGUGCGCAGGCGGUUAUAUAAGACAGAUGUGAAAUCCCCGGGCUCAACCUGGGACCUGCAUUUGUGACUGUAUAGCUAGAGUACGGUAGAGGGGGAUGGAAUUCCGCGUGUAGCAGUGAAAUGCGUAGAUAUGCGGAGGAACACCGAUGGCGAAGGCAAUCCCCUGGACCUGUACUGACGCUCAUGCACGAAAGCGUGGGGAGCAAACAGGAUUAGAUACCCCAGUAGUCCCUGUCUCUUAUAA